RNAcentral lists this ribosomal RNA (265 nucleotides) under uncultured bacterium. RNAcentral's name for it is "partial 16S ribosomal RNA". It matches the Rfam family "Bacterial small subunit ribosomal RNA", at positions 793 to 1055 of the family's 1533-position model. The record is from RNAcentral.
GUCCACGCCGUAAACGAUGAGUGCUAGGUGCUGUGGGUAUUGACCCCCGCGGUGCCGCAGCUAACGCGUUAAGCACUCCGCCUGGGGAGUACGGCCGCAAGGCUAAAACUCAAAGGAAUUGACGGGGGCCCGCACAAGCGGUGGAGCAUGUGGUUCAAUUCGACGCAACGCGCAGAACCUUACCUGGGUUAAAUCCAUUCAAAGCUGCCAGAGAUGGCGGGGUGCCCUUCGGGGAAUGAAUGAGAAGGUGCUGCAUGGCUGUCGU